Molecule: long non-coding RNA, 1884 nt
Organism: Galleria mellonella (greater wax moth)
Lineage: Eukaryota; Metazoa; Arthropoda; Insecta; Lepidoptera; Pyralidae
Exons: 5
Source: RefSeq, a predicted model, not a curated record
CCUGGAAUGUGUAAAUAAAAGUUAUAUUAUAUUUUCCACAACUUAAUUCUUUGGUUCAAGAACACAUACUGAACUGUAAUAUGCUAAUCGUAUUCAGUUCACACAAGUUCUGACCUAACGAUGAUACAAUAACAAGAGAUAACAUAAUCAUAUAUAAAAACAGAUUCUUACAAUUAUAUUUUAUUGACAACAAACAAUACCACUUUAUCACAUUUAUUACAUCAGUCAAUCUAAAUAAGAGGAACCACGUGAAGAUCGACUUGAUAGGAUAUAUUGCUAGCAACGGGAUCAUUUCUUUCCAUUAUGAUUCCAUUUCUUCCCAAUGGGAAUGGAAACCGGGAGAUAAUACAAGAAAAAUAAAGUGAGUAAAAUAAUAUAAAUAAUAUUUGGUAAAAAGGAAAAUACUGUAGAAAACCUCUCUACGUCUACAUAAACGAAGUUACGAAUUCGCUACUCGAGGGCAUUGCUGAGUGCGCCCGCAUACUUGCAAGGAAACUGGAUUUACAAAUGGGAAUGUGGUUCGUGGUUACAGUUCAUUCCUUUGGCUAAUGUUGGAAGAUUGCUGGACGACACCACGUUUAGACUUUCAAUCUCUCUCAGAUUGGAAGUGAAAAACUUCCUCAUCGCUGUAACCUUUUUUAAAGGGAAAUAUGUUUUUACACAUCCCAUUUAUUAUGUGAGAUUUCUCGCUUAUCAGGACACUUAUAACCCUGCUGUUACCGCCAUUUACAAUAUGGGAAGGUUGAGGUGACGGCUGCACUUAUCCUUGGACCCUAUUUGUGUCGCAGGAAACUGUUGUGAUGCGAGAUACACAAGCAGGGGCAAAUAGUCAGUUUAGUGAAACGACGUAUAACUGAAGAUAUUGUAAUAAUUAGUCUUACCACUGAAUUUAUUUAAAUAUAAAAUGUAAAAGAUUUUUUUUUGUGAUUUCAUGAUGUUCUUAGGCAUUCUAUGAAAUCCUCAAUUAUGUUUAUCAGUACAGCAAUUAUGAGAUCAGACAUCAUCAAUUAUGUUUAGAAUCAUUUAUAUUCAUGCCAAGUCCCUUGCGGGGUAGGUAGAGAGAACCGAUUGCCAAAGACCUUUCUCCUUACAUACAUCUUUUGCUUCUUGUAUUUUCAUAACUCGUCUAAUGCAUGUAUACCAGUUCCGGAGACUCUUGGCUUCUUUAUUUAAAAGAACACGGUUUAUUUGAUCAUAAUAGGUUACUGUAGGUCUCCCCAGUUAUCUCCACAUCCCCAUUUGCAUUGUAUAUUUGUUUUGUCAACCUUUUAUCUGGCAUUCUUUCCACAUGUCCGAAUUACCGUAGCAUGCUCUAUCUCAUUUUAACAUCGACACUUUCUUUCUGACCAGCUCGCUGACACACUAUUAUUAUGAAUAGGUACAUUACCCUGCAAAUUCUGCGUAAUGCUCGCAUUUCAACCGCAUUUACUCUGCUUGCUUUUUUUUACAUACCCAACUCUCGCUGUCAUAAUAAAUUGUUGUAUAUUAAGAAUUAGAUGUAUGUUUAAUUUUAACUUUUUUUUUUAUUAAAAUUUUGUAUAAUUAGUAGGAUUAAUCAAUGAGAUUUACAUUAAAAUAUUGCUUGUCUUUCAUUUUGCUAAAAUUAAUGCAAUGUUAAUAAUAUUCAGUAUAGGUAUCUAGUCUCAAAAAAAUAUGAACUGGUUAAGUGCCUAUUAUUAUAGUAUUACUAAAUUUUACUUUCAGAAUACUUCGCUUACAAUUUCUACGUUAUUAAAGUAAGCGGAUACAAACCAAUUUCGUUAAGUAAGUAGUGAAUAAAAAUCUUGAAUUAAAUAAGAAUACUAUAUUUUUAUACGAAACGAGUUAUUGUUUUAUUAAUUUGGCUUUCAUCCAAUGCCGCACUAUGCAUGCGUAUCUAUAUGU